CAGUCGCCACGGGAAUACGUAGGGUGCGAGCGUUAAUCGGAAUUACUGGGCGUAAAGCGUGCGCAGGCGGUUGUGUAAGACAGGUGUGAAAUCCCCGGGCUUAACCUGGGAACUGCGCUUGUGACUGCACAGCCAGAGUAUGGCAGAGGGGGGUGGAAUUCCACGUGUAGCAGUGAAAUGCGUAGAGAUGUGGAGGAACACCGAUGGCGAAGGCAGCCCCCUGGGCCAAUACUGACGCUCAUGCACGAAAGCGUGGGGAGCAAACAGGAUUAGAUACCCGCGUAGUCCCUGUCUCUUAUAC
This 301-nucleotide ribosomal RNA is filed under the name uncultured bacterium. RNAcentral's name for it is "partial 16S ribosomal RNA". It matches the Rfam family "Bacterial small subunit ribosomal RNA", at positions 509 to 807 of the family's 1533-position model. The record is from RNAcentral.